Molecule: ribosomal RNA, 253 nt
Filed under: uncultured bacterium
Lineage: Bacteria
Description: partial 16S ribosomal RNA
Rfam family: Bacterial small subunit ribosomal RNA
Source: RNAcentral
UACAGAGGUCUCAAGCGUUGUUCGGAUUCAUUGGGCGUAAAGGGUGUGUAGGCGGCGCGCUAAGUCGGGUGUGAAAUUUCGGAGCUUAACUUCGAAACUGCAUUCGAUACUGGCGUGCUUGAGGACUGGAGAGGAGACUGGAAUUUACGGUGUAGCAGUGAAAUGCGUAGAUAUCGUAAGGAAGACCAGUGGCGAAGGCGGGUCUCUGGACAGUUCCUGACACUGAGACACGAAGGCCAGGGGAGCAAACGGG